This 510-nucleotide ribosomal RNA is filed under the name uncultured bacterium. Its description in RNAcentral is "partial 16S ribosomal RNA". It matches the Rfam family "Bacterial small subunit ribosomal RNA", at positions 28 to 507 of the family's 1533-position model. The record is from RNAcentral.
GACGAACGCUGGCGGCGUGCUUAACACAUGCAAGUCGAACGAAGAGCGAUGGAAGCUUGCUUCUAUCAAUCUUAGUGGCGAACGGGUGAGUAACGCGUAAUCAACCUGCCCUUCAGAGGGGGACAACAGUUGGAAACGACUGCUAAUACCGCAUACGAUCUAACCUCGGCAUCGAGGAUGGAUGAAAGGUGGCCUCUAUUUAUAAGCUAUCACUGAAGGAGGGGAUUGCGUCUGAUUAGCUAGUUGGAGGGGUAACGGCCCACCAAGGCGAUGAUCAGUAGCCGGUCUGAGAGGAUGAACGGCCACAUUGGGACUGAGACACGGCCCAGACUCCUACGGGAGGCAGCAGUGGGGAAUCUUCCGCAAUGGACGAAAGUCUGACGGAGCAACGCCGCGUGAGUGAUGACGGCCUUCGGGUUGUAAAGCUCGGUUAAUCGGGACGAAAGGCCUUCUUGCGAAUAGUUAGAAGGAUUGACGGUACCGGAAUAGAAAGCCACGGCUAACUACGUG